GAAAAUAGUUUGUUUGGUUAUUGUCAUGGUCACCCAUAUGUUACAGAAAACUGGUCGAUAAGUCAUUUGUUUCGUUAUACAUUGGUCACAGAAAACUGGUGCAACGGUCAUCGCGACACUUGUUUUGGGUCAUUUGUUUGGUUAUUCAUUGGUCACCACUGCCUAUCGUAUCAGCCAUCCAAAAUAAUUGAAAUUUUUAUUUAAUGUUUUUUAAGUUUACAUGUUUUUAGGUAACAGUUAUAUAUAUCCUUUCUAUUUUUACAAAUUUUCAGAAAUUAUUUAGGAUCAGCUUUUAAAUAUUUACAUUUAUAUAUACAUAUUCUACAGUGAAAUUGAAAGGUGAAUUUUUAAUGUAUACUUUGCAUGUUUUUCGAAUCGGUACAGUUUUUUUCUGUAAGUUGGUUGACUGUUAGUGACAUCUAUGCUAAAUUUUUUUAUUUGAGAUACGCGUUGUUUUGCAAGGCUCUAAAAGAAUAUUCUUCGAUUUUUACUGUCUGAAUUUAUUGAACAAAGAAGUGCGAUAAUGCACCAUCUCAUACUGCAUUGGUUAUUCGUAAUCAUUUCGCCACAUUUUCAAUUAAUAUCGUUCCGCAACCACCGCAUUCGCUUGAUUUACCUUCGUUUAACUUCUGGCUAUUCAGCAAAUUCACAUGACCACUCCGAGGACAGCACACUUACUGAGGAUAUAAAAGCUGAAGAUUCUCAUGGCCAUCACGACGGAGGAUUUUUCCAAGUGCUCUGAUGACUGGAAAAUUCGUUGACAUAUGUGCUACUGCUUUCAACACAACAUUGUCGUUUGAAUAAGGAAAUGUCGAAUGAGCGUUUGGUACACAACUGUGGUUAACCUUGCUUUGAAGCAGGUAAAGUCCAGCAACCUCAGUGUUGAGAAAUUCGCCCGAGACUUUAAUGAUUACAUACAUAUGUAUACGUGUGAAAUAAUAAUACGAAAUUUAAAUAUAAACUAAUUGUUGUUAACUUACA
Molecule: long non-coding RNA, 981 nt
Organism: Bactrocera neohumeralis
Lineage: Eukaryota; Metazoa; Arthropoda; Insecta; Diptera; Tephritidae
Exons: 2
Source: RefSeq, a predicted model, not a curated record